Molecule: non-coding RNA, 580 nt
Organism: Pelobates cultripes (western spadefoot toad)
Lineage: Eukaryota; Metazoa; Chordata; Amphibia; Anura; Pelobatidae
Source: the annotation of a GenBank genome assembly
AAUGCUUCAAUCACUCUGGCUAAUGUCUACUUACCAAAUACACGCCAGUGUCAUACAUUCCGCAAAAUUCUAAACAAUAUCCAGCGGCUCACACAAGGAACUUUAAUUAUAGGGGGCGACUUUAACUUAUCUAUUGACGCUCUGCAGGACAAUACGUCACGCCACCCAAAUCAUCUCCAACCCCUCAGAUCCCAGCUAAAGAGGCUUCUUCAUAAUCACCAAUUAGUAGACUGCUGGAGGGCGCUACACCCUUCCACGAAAGACUACACCUUUUAUUCCAAAUCAGCCUCCACAUACACGAGAAUAGACUUCUUUCUCACCACACAUAGGGAUCUUUCCCUGAUCACCUCGGCAACGAUUGGAAACAUUACGUGGUCCGAUCAUGCCCCAAUCUACAUACAAUUUAAAAUCCCCUCUCUAGCACAGGGGAAAGGCCAGUGGAAACUCAAUACUACUAUCCUCCAUGAUGAAAUGGCGAAACAAGCAAUCGCCCAAACCAUAGCGCACUACUUCCAGGAGAACAAUACACAAGACACGACUCCUUUCCUUCAAUGGGAGGCACAUAAGUGUGUGGUGCGAG